ACAUUAUGUCCAACAAAAUUCAGAGGAUGAUUAGGCAAUUUCACCCAUUUUAAUAGAAUGAACACAUUGUUGUGUUUAUUAUAUUGCUGUGUUUAAUAUAAGAAUACAAAACACAUUAUAUAACGAUAACAUUAGUACAAUAUUAACACCAAAUAAUAUAAAUUCUUUUAAAUAGAUAAAUAAAAUAUACUAAAAAUAUUUUGAAAUCCACUUUUUUUUUUUUGGUAACCGAGUAUCCUGGCCCCAUCGUAGUGGUCCAGACUAGAGACCGAAAUGAGCAAAAACGCUACCAGGACGUCACCAUGUGGCUCACCGCGAACGGUCUUCGGUCUCGGGCGCGGGGGUUCCGCAUGUGAAUUCUCCAGUGGUCGGGUUUCGAACUCAGGUGGCGGAACUCACAGCCGUGAGUCCUUUACCACCAGAGCUAGAAGCCCCGGUUCUUGAAAUCCACUUACUUUUGAUUGUUUUUAGUCUUCAAAAGUUUUACGGGUUCCGUGAACUUCAUAAUCUCAGUACGU
This 518-nucleotide long non-coding RNA is filed under the name Brassica napus (rape). RNAcentral's name for it is "long non-coding RNA (BNAP_LNC025198)". The record is from RNAcentral. Lineage: Eukaryota; Viridiplantae; Streptophyta; Magnoliopsida; Brassicales; Brassicaceae.